This 330-nucleotide ribosomal RNA is filed under the name uncultured Glomeromycotina. Its description in RNAcentral is "LSU rRNA". Lineage: Eukaryota; Fungi; Glomeromycota. The record is from RNAcentral.
CAGUCGUACCGGUGGGUAAUCAGCCUUUUGGGCGUGAUUAUGUGGAGUGUGAGGAGUUAAACACCUUCAUGCCUGCGUAUUCGUGCACUUUGGGUGUACUUGCCCGCAUGGUUGGUUAACAUCAAUUUCGGAAACCAUAAAAUGGUUGGAGGAAUGUAGCUUCGGUCUCGUAUUGAAGUGUUAUAGCCUCUGGCAGAUGUGGUGAUCGAGAUUGAGGAUUGCAACGGAUACCCUUCGGGGCUACCUACCUGAUCUCUGAUCGUUACUCUGGUGCCGAAAGCGUGCUUACGGUCAUCAAAGUUGAUGGUCAACAGGUUAGAAUGGGUUAAA